GAUGAACGCUAGCUACAGGCUUAACACAUGCAAGUCGAGGGGUAACGAGAGGGAAGCUUGCUUUCCUUGUCGACGACCGGCGCACGGGUGAGUAACGCGUAUCCAACCUGCCCCCAACUAGGGAAUAACCUUGCGAAAGUAAGACUAAUACCCUAUAAUUUCCUCAGAUGUCAUCUGACGAGGAAUAAAGAUUUAUCGGUUGUGGAUGGGGAUGCGUCUGAUUAGCUUGUUGGCGGGGUAACGGCCCACCAAGGCAACGAUCAGUAGGGGUUCUGAGAGGAAGGUCCCCCACAUUGGAACUGAGACACGGUCCAAACUCCUACGGGAGGCAGCAGUGAGGAAUAUUGGUCAAUGGGCGGAAGCCUGAACCAGCCAAGUAGCGCGCAGGAUGACGGCCCUAUGGGUUGUAAACUGCUUUUAUACAGGAAUAAAGUUAGCCACGUGUGGUUAUUUGUAGGUACUGUAUGAAUAAGGACCGGCUAAUUCCGUGCCAGCCGCCGCCGUAA
Molecule: ribosomal RNA, 506 nt
Filed under: uncultured bacterium
Lineage: Bacteria
Description: partial 16S ribosomal RNA
Rfam family: Bacterial small subunit ribosomal RNA
Source: RNAcentral